AAAUAAUAACACUUUUAAGGGCUUUUUUUGUAAUAUUUUAUUGGUGGGUUUUGUCAAUCACUCCUUGAAGGGCACCAAGGAGUCAUGUCCAUAGGAUAGCUCCCCAACACCCUUAAGAAAGAAGUGAACUCCUGCACCUCUGCCAAUGCAUUCUGUGCCCUAACUUCUGCCAUCGACGCUUCAAAAUCCAAGUAAACCAUGUACUCAAAGUGCUUUGCCGUCCCGGCACUUGCAUCGUCCACUAGCCUGAUCGGGCAAUCUCGGUGUGGCCGUGACUCGAUCUUCGUCAAGUUGAUGUUACGG
This 303-nucleotide unclassified non-coding RNA is filed under the name Hevea brasiliensis (rubber tree). The record is from RNAcentral. Lineage: Eukaryota; Viridiplantae; Streptophyta; Magnoliopsida; Malpighiales; Euphorbiaceae.